This 1123-nucleotide ribosomal RNA is filed under the name Leuconostoc carnosum. RNAcentral's name for it is "bacterial SSU rRNA". It matches the Rfam family "Bacterial small subunit ribosomal RNA", at positions 349 to 1465 of the family's 1533-position model. The record is from RNAcentral. Lineage: Bacteria; Bacillati; Bacillota; Bacilli; Lactobacillales; Lactobacillaceae.
CUGCAGUAGGAAUCUUCCACAAUGGGCGAAAGCCUGAUGGAGCAACGCCGCGUGUGUGAUGAAGGCUUUCGGGUCGUAAAGCACUGUUGUAUGGGAAGAAAAGUUAAGGUAGGGAAUGACCUUAGCCUGACGGUACCAUACCAGAAAGGGACGGCUAAAUACGUGCCAGCAGCCGCGGUAAUACGUAUGUCCCGAGCGUUAUCCGGAUUUAUUGGGCGUAAAGCGAGCGCAGACGGUUGGUUAAGUCUGAUGUGAAAGCCCGGAGCUCAACUCCGGAAAGGCAUUGGAAACUGGUUAACUUGAGUGCAGUAGAGGUAAGUGGAACUCCAUGUGUAGCGGUGGAAUGCGUAGAUAUAUGGAAGAACACCAGCGGCGAAGGCGGCUUACUGGACUGUAACUGACGUUGAGGCUCGAAAGUGUGGGUAGCAAACAGGAUUAGAUACCCUGGUAGUCCACACCGUAAACGAUGAACACUAGGUGUUAGGAGGUUUCCGCCUCUUAGUGCCGAAGCUAACGCAUUAAGUGUUCCGCCUGGGGAGUACGACCGCAAGGUUGAAACUCAAAGGAAUUGACGGGGACCCGCACAAGCGGUGGAGCAUGUGGUUUAAUUCGAAGCAACGCGAAGAACCUUACCAGGUCUUGACAUCCUUUGAAGCUUUUAGAAAUAGAAGUGUUCUCUUCGGAGACAAAGUGACAGGUGGUGCAUGGUCGUCGUCAGCUCGUGUCGUGAGAUGUUGGGUUAAGUCCCGCAACGAGCGCAACCCUUAUUGUUAGUUGCCAGCAUUCAGAUGGGCACUCUAGCGAGACUGCCGGUGACAAACCGGAGGAAGGCGGGGACGACGUCAGAUCAUCAUGCCCCUUAUGACCUGGGCUACACACGUGCUACAAUGGCGUAUACAACGAGUUGCCAACCUGCGAAGGUGAGCUAAUCUCUUAAAGUACGUCUCAGUUCGGACUGCAGUCUGCAACUCGACUGCACGAAGUCGGAAUCGCUAGUAAUCGCGGAUCAGCACGCCGCGGUGAAUACGUUCCCGGGUCUUGUACACACCGCCCGUCACACCAUGGAAGUUUGUAAUGCCCAAAGCCGGUGGCCUAACCGUAAGGAGGGAACCGUCUAAGGCAG